This 484-nucleotide ribosomal RNA is filed under the name uncultured bacterium. Its description in RNAcentral is "partial 16S ribosomal RNA". It matches the Rfam family "Bacterial small subunit ribosomal RNA", at positions 30 to 507 of the family's 1533-position model. The record is from RNAcentral.
AUUGAACGCUGGCGGCAGGCCUAACACAUGCAAGUCGAGCGGAUGAAGGGAGCUUGCUCCUGGAUUCAGCGGCGGACGGGUGAGUAAUGCCUAGGAAUCUGCCCGGUAGUGGGGGAUAACAUCCGGAAACGGGCGCUAAUACCGCAUACGUCCUGAGGGAGAAAGUGGGGGAUCUUCGGACCUCACGCUAUCAGAUGAGCCUAGGUCGGAUUAGCUAGUUGGUGGGGUAAAGGCCUACCAAGGCGACGAUCCGUAACUGGUCUGAGAGGAUGAUCAGUCACACUGGAACUGAGACACGGUCCAGACUCCUACGGGAGGCAGCAGUGGGGAAUAUUGGACAAUGGGCGAAAGCCUGGUCCAGCCAUGCCGCGUGUGUGAAGAAGGUCUUCGGAUUGUAAAGCACUUUAAGUUGGGAGGAAGGGCAGUAAGUUAAUACCUUGCUGUUUUGACGUUACCAACAGAAUAAGCACCGGCUAACUUCGUG